GAGGAAGGUGGAUAUGUUAAUAGCAUAUUCAUUUUGACGUUAGCUGCAGAAGAAGCACCGGCUAACUCCGUGCCAGCAGCCGCGGUAAUACGGAGGGUGCGAGCGUUAAUCGGAAUUACUGGGCGUAAAGCGCAUGCAGGUGGUUUGUUAAGUCAGAUGUGAAAGCCCGGGGCUCAACCUCGGAAUUGCAUUUUGAAACUGGCAAACUAGAGUACUGUAGAGGGGGUAGGAAUUUCAGGUGUAGCGGUGAAAUGCGUAGAGAUCUGAAGGAAUACCGGUGGCGAAGGCGGCCCCCCUGGACAGAUACUGACACUCAGAUGCGAAAGCGUGGGGAGCAAACAGGAUUAGAUAGCCCCGGUAG
Molecule: ribosomal RNA, 361 nt
Filed under: uncultured bacterium
Lineage: Bacteria
Description: bacterial SSU rRNA
Rfam family: Bacterial small subunit ribosomal RNA
Source: RNAcentral